UUGUCGUCAGCUCGUGUCGUGAGAUGUUGGGUUAAGUCCCGCAACGAGCGCAACCCUUGAUCUUAGUUGCCAGCAUUUAGUUGGGCACUCUAAGGUGACUGCCGGUGACAAACCGGAGGAAGGUGGGGAUGACGUCAAAUCAUCAUGCCCCUUAUGACCUGGGCUACACACGUGCUACAAUGGAUGGUACAAAGGGCUGCAAGACCGCGAGGUCAAGCCAAUCCCAUAAAACCAUUCUCAGUUCGGAUUGUAGGCUGCAACUCGCCUACAUGAAGCUGGAAUCGCUAGUAAUCGCGGAUCAGCAUGCCGCGGUGAAUACGUUCCCGGGCCUUGUACACACCGCCCGUCACACCACGAGAGUUUGUAACACCCGAAGUCGGUGGAGUAACCGUAAGGAGCUAGCCGCCUAAGGUGGGACAGAUGAUUGGGGUGAAGUCGUAACAAGGUAGCCGUAUCGGAAGGUGCGGCUGGAUCACCUCCUUU
Molecule: ribosomal RNA, 483 nt
Filed under: Priestia megaterium
Lineage: Bacteria; Bacillati; Bacillota; Bacilli; Caryophanales; Bacillaceae
Description: bacterial SSU rRNA
Rfam family: Bacterial small subunit ribosomal RNA
Source: RNAcentral